GCCAAAAAAGGGUUUUUUUUUUAAAUUUUUUUCCCGCAGAUGAACGCUGGCGGCAGGCCUAACACAUGCAAGUCGAGCGGUAGCACACGAGAGCUUGCUCUCCGGGUGACGAGCGGCGGACGGGUGAGUAAUGUCUGGGAAACUGCCUGAUGGAGGGGGAUAACUACUGGAAACGGUAGCUAAUACCGCAUAACGUCGCAAGACCAAAGUGGGGGACCUUCGGGCCUCAUGCCAUCAGAUGUGCCCAGAUGGGAUUAGCUAGUAGGUGAGGUAAUGGCUCACCUAGGCGACGAUCCCUAGCUGGUCUGAGAGGAUGACCAGCCACACUGGAACUGAGACACGGUCCAGACUCCUACGGGAGGCAGCAGUGGGGAAUAUUGCACAAUGGGCGCAAGCCUGAUGCAGCCAUGCCGCGUGUAUGAAGAAGGCCUUCGGGUUGUAAAGUACUUUCAGCGAGGAGGAAGGCAUUAAGGUUAAUAACCUUGGUGAUUGACGUUACUCGCAGAAGAAGCACCGGCUAACUCCGUGCCAGCAGCCGCGGUAAUACGGAGGGUGCAAGCGUUAAUCGGAAUUACUGGGCGUAAAGCGCACGCAGGCGGUCUGUCAAGUCGGAUGUGAAAUCCCCGGGCUCAACCUGGGAACUGCAUCCGAAACUGGCAGGCUAGAGUCUUGUAGAGGGGGGUAGAAUUCCAGGUGUAGCGGUGAAAUGCGUAGAGAUCUGGAGGAAUACCGGUGGCGAAGGCGGCCCCCUGGACAAAGACUGACGCUCAGGUGCGAAAGCGGGGGAGCAAACAGGAUUAGAUACCCUGGUAGUCCACGCUGUAAACGAUGUCGACUUGGAGGUUGUUCCCUUGAGGAGUGGCUUCCGGAGCUAACGCGUUAAGUCGACCGCCUGGGGAGUACGGCCGCAAGGUUAAAACUCAAAUGAAUUGACGGGGGCCCGCACAAGCGGUGGAGCAUGUGGUUUAAUUCGAUGCAACGCGAAGAACCUUACCUACUCUUGACAUCCAGAGAACUUAGCAGAGAUGCUUUGGUGCCUUCGGGAACUCUGAGACAGGUGCUGCAUGGCUGUCGUCAGCUCGUGUUGUGAAAUGUUGGGUUAAGUCCCGCAACGAGCGCAACCCUUAUCCUUUGUUGCCAGCGAUUCGGUCGGGAACUCAAAGGAGACUGCCAGUGAUAAACUGGAGGAAGGUGGGGGAUGACGUCAAGUCAUCAUGGCCCUUACGAGUAGGGCUACACACGUGCUACAAUGGCAUAUACAAAGAGAAGCGACCUCGCGAGAGCAAGCGGACCUCAUAAAGUAUGUCGUAGUCCGGAUCGGAGUCUGCAACUCGACUCCGUGAAGUCGGAAUCGCUAGUAAUCGUGGAUCAGAAUGCCACGGUGAAUACGUUCCCGGGGCCUUGUACACACCGCCCGUCAACCAUGGGGAAGUGGGUUGCAAAAAGAAGUAGGUAGCUUAACCUUCCGGGAGGGCGCUUACCACUUUGUGAUUCAUGACUGGGGUGAUCAGAAAAAAAACCCCCCCAAAAAAAAAAAAAGCCGCGAAAAAUA
This 1552-nucleotide ribosomal RNA is filed under the name Klebsiella sp. NGB-FR-120. Its description in RNAcentral is "bacterial SSU rRNA". It matches the Rfam family "Bacterial small subunit ribosomal RNA". Lineage: Bacteria; Pseudomonadati; Pseudomonadota; Gammaproteobacteria; Enterobacterales; Enterobacteriaceae. The record is from RNAcentral.